CUGGAAGAAGGAAAUAAAGAUAGCUGACAAGAAAACCUUUCAUCUCAUUUGCUGUUUAGACUCUCACAGGGCUGCAGCUAGGAAACAAAAGUAGAGCUCCCCAGGAUCAGCCUAGCUAAUGAAUCUUUAGUUUAUUAGAAGAUUGGCUACAGGUGUUGUCUCUGGUGAGAGCUCUAAGGUAUAAAUUGACCCUGCAGGAUGAUAAGGCUGGUGCAUAAUUAUUACCCAGUGUUGGAAUGAUGGACUUACUACGAGCUUAUACUGUCCAGGAGAAAACUGAGCAGUGGAAAACACACAUUUCUUGGGAACAAGGCUGGGACUAAGGAUUUCCGGGUGUCGCCCGGGGCUGGGGAAGGUUCAUUAUACAGUAAAAAAAAAAAAAAUUUGCUCCCUCAAACAAACUGUGGGCAGCUCAGUUGGAGAGGAGCUACUGGAGGAGAAGGACACCUCUCACCUGUUGCUGGCGCUCGGACCCAACAGCAACUGCUGCAGCACCCAAGAUCUGGAGGCACUGCCAGAGCUUCUGGUCGCCGGAGACAUCAAGGAGUUGCCAGGGCUGUCGUUAGCUGUUUUCCCAGUGUGAGAUGGAUAUUGACCCCGGGACCCAGGCCUGAAGCAGCAAAUACAUUGAAGACUUCUACUGGGAUUGCUUUUGCAUGGAGUUCUGAGUGGAGACCCUACAUCAAGAAUGUUGUUAACAAAAUCCACUCAUGUUCGCUAAUGAUGACUUCAUACCUAAAUGAACAUGUGUUUGAAUAAAAAUAUGAGUGGAUAUUGACAUGUAAUUGUCUGUUUGACUGUCUUAAUAAAGAACAGGAAUUACAUGAUGUCCUGUGGUUAAAGCGCA
This is a long non-coding RNA of Mauremys reevesii (Reeves's turtle), 847 nucleotides long. RefSeq lists it as uncharacterized. The record is from RefSeq and is a predicted model, not a curated record. Lineage: Eukaryota; Metazoa; Chordata; Testudines; Geoemydidae. The transcript has 5 exons.